This is a long non-coding RNA of Octopus sinensis (East Asian common octopus), 184 nucleotides long. RefSeq lists it as uncharacterized. The record is from RefSeq and is a predicted model, not a curated record. NCBI's taxonomy places the organism in Eukaryota, Metazoa, Mollusca, Cephalopoda, Octopoda, Octopodidae. The transcript is spliced from 3 exons.
AAAGUUCGAAGGAAGGAAAUAUAGAAAAAGAAAAUCGCCAACGAUACACACACGGUCACAUAUUGAAGUGACUCAGUGAAAGGGAAUGAGUGAAGAAAAAGUUCCUUCUAAGACAGGAAAGUGCAAGAGAAGGAAGUAUGUGUGUAUGUGUGGGUAUGUCCAUGAGCACAGGCCUGUGUGUGUG